GGUUAACAUUGUUAUUCAUACUUACCGGCUCAGGUAGGCAUCUCUAAAGAAACUUGUCACUGGAAAUAGAGUCUCAACUCGUCGUCCUUUACUGCUUUAACUUCCCUCUGGAAUCACAUUCAGAUAGAGGAAUGAUUAUUUCACAAUAAAUGCCUUUGGUCUUGACUGUCACGUCUAAUUGUACUCCAAUCCCUCCUCACGUUCAUUGGUCUGACUGGGGCAUAUGCUCAUUCUGGAACUAAUCCCAGUUCUGGAUUGUGCCCCGACAAUGCUGUUCAUUGACGGGCUUAGGCUUUCUCCCUCCUGAGCCAAUCACUAUGGUAGAAAGGAUGGAAUGACUGCUCUCUUCCAACAACAUCACUGUGACAUCAUAAGAGAGAUUUGAAAAGCAUCUUGGAGGACUUUCUAUGUCAAGCUCCCCAGAUGCACACCUUGAGACUAGGAUUUGCUAUGGAGCAUCAUGCGUGAUUCUCACAGAGCUCAAUAGACGUCGGGCAAGUGGAAGGCCAUCAGACCUCUCAGGUCACAGCAUCCAGAGCAUCCCGUUGGACACAUAAAGACUAAGUUACUUAACUGUGGAGAUUCCUCUCUCUUUCUCUCUCUCCUUCUUUCUCCAAACCCAGAUGUUUGGCAUCUCACCAAUAUCGUCCAAGACCUUCUGGAUUGGGAACAAAAUAAAUGUAGAGAAAGAGGAAGCAGUUUUAGUGAAAGCACCACAGGGAGCAAACCAAUAAAAAAGCAGGAAACUCAGCACAAGCCCGAUUUAUGUCGCUGCAUUUCCCUAGCACUCAGCCUAUUCCUCCAAACCCCAACACACACACACUCGUGUGCACACACACGUGCACUCACACAUGCACAUGUGCACACACACACCACAAGCGCCUGCUCCUAUUAGCUUUCUUUCCUGCUCUCACUUUUCAUUUUAAAGUCAAACAUUGGGUAAAAUUCUCUUUUUAUUUCACUCUCCUUCCCAUCUCUCUGAAAGAGCUUCAGAAGGGGAGUUUUGCAUGAGCGUCCUGAGGGCUCGUGGAUCUGAGACUGUACAGCUCCCUCACCUCCACAUUUCCCUGAUGGUCCUAUCUCUUUUUAAUAGUCAAUAAAACAUUGCUAUAGCCUCUAUUUUAGUUUCUGUUUCUAGACAACAAGAAAGAGAGAAAAGGUAG
RNAcentral lists this long non-coding RNA (1163 nucleotides) under Equus caballus (horse). RNAcentral's name for it is "lncRNA (ENSECAG00000056321.1)". The record is from RNAcentral. Lineage: Eukaryota; Metazoa; Chordata; Mammalia; Perissodactyla; Equidae.